Molecule: ribosomal RNA, 254 nt
Filed under: uncultured bacterium
Lineage: Bacteria
Description: partial 16S ribosomal RNA
Rfam family: Bacterial small subunit ribosomal RNA
Source: RNAcentral
CACGUAGGGUGCGAGCGUUGUCCGGAAUUAUUGGGCGUAAAGAGCUCGUAGGCGGUGUGUCGCGUCGGCCGUGAAAACCUGCAGCUUAACUGUGGGCUUGCGGUCGAUACGGGCAUCACUGGAGUUCGGCAGGGGAGACUGGAAUUCCUGGUGUAGCGGUGAAAUGCGCAGAUAUCAGGAGGAACACCAGUGGCGAAGGCGGCUCACUGGCCCGGUACUGACGCUGAUGUGCGAAAGCGUGGGGAGCAAACAGG